Molecule: ribosomal RNA, 450 nt
Filed under: uncultured bacterium
Lineage: Bacteria
Description: bacterial SSU rRNA
Rfam family: Bacterial small subunit ribosomal RNA
Source: RNAcentral
GUGGGGAAUUUUGGACAAUGGGCGAAAGCCUGAUCCAGCAAUGCCGCGUGUGUGAAGAAGGCCUUCGGGUUGUAAAGCACUUUUGGCAGGGAAGAAACAGUGCGUGCUAAUACCAUGCGCGAAUGACGGUACCUGCAGAAUAAGCACCGGCUAACUACGUGCCAGCAGCCGCGGUAAUACGUAGGGUGCAAGCGUUAAUCGGAAUUACUGGGCGUAAAGCGUGCGCAGGCGGCUUUGUAAGACGGAUGUGAAAGCCCCGGGCUCAACCUGGGAAGUGCAUGCGUGACUGCAAGGCUAGAGUGUGUCAGAGGGAGGUGGAAUUCCGCGUGUAGCAGUGAAAUGCGUAGAGAUGCGGAGGAACACCGAUGGCGAAGGCAGCCUCCUGGGAUAACACUGACGCUCAGGCACGAAAGCGUGGGGAGCAAACAGGAUUAGAAACCCUAGUAGUCC